AAGGAUCAUUAUCGAGUUUUGAACGGGUUGUCUGCUGGCUCGCAAGGGCAUGUGCACGCCUGUCUCAUCCACUCUCAACUUCUGUGCACUUUUCAUAGGCCGGCUUGUGGGUGCGUUCGCGCACUUGUAGGUGUCGGGCUUAUGCUUUAUUACAAACGAUUCAGUUUUAGAAUGUCAUACUUUGCUAUAACGCAAUUUAUAUACAACUUUCAGCAACGGAUCUCUUGGCUCUCGCAUCGAUGAAGAACGCAGCGAAAUGCGAUAAGUAAUGUGAAUUGCAGAAUUCAGUGAAUCAUCGAAUCUUUGAACGCACCUUGCGCUCCUUGGUAUUCCGAGGAGCAUGCCUGUUUGAGUCUCAUGGAAUUCUCAACCUUCAGCUUUAUUGAUGAAGGCUUGGACUUGGAGGUCGUGCCGGCUCUCGUAGUCGGCUCCUCUGAAAUGCAUUAGUGCGAACGUUACCAGCCGCUUCAGCGUGAUAAUUAUCUGCGUUGCUGUGGAGGGUAUUCUAGUGUUCGCGCUUCUAACCGUCUUCGGACAAAUUUCUGAACUCUGAGC
This 555-nucleotide ribosomal RNA is filed under the name Agaricomycetes sp. FSU6280. RNAcentral describes it as "eukaryotic LSU rRNA". The stretch from base 205 to 358 matches the Rfam family "5.8S ribosomal RNA". The record is from RNAcentral. Lineage: Eukaryota; Fungi; Basidiomycota; Agaricomycetes.